CCUACGGGAGGCAGCAGUGAGGAAUAUUGGUCAAUGGGCGUAAGCCUGAACCAGCCAAGUCGCGUGAGGGAUGAAGGUUCUAUGGAUCGUAAACCUCUUUUAUAAGGGAAUAAAGUGUGGGACGUGUCCUAUUUUGUAUGUACCUUAUGAAUAAGGAUCGGCUAACUCCGUGCCAGCAGCCGCGGUAAUACGGAGGAUCCGAGCGUUAUCCGGAUUUAUUGGGGUUAAAGGGUGCGUAGGCGGCCUUUUAAGGCAGCGGGGAAGGUCUGUGGCUCAACCAUAGAAUUGCCGUUGAAACUGGUGGGCUUGGGUAUGUUUGAGGCAGGCGGAAUGCGUGGUGUAGCGGUGAAAUGCUGAGAUAUCACGCAGAACCCCGAUGGCGAAGGCAGCCUGCCAAGCCAUGACUGACGCUGAUGCACGAAAGCGUGGGGAUCAAACAGGAUUAGAUACCCGUGUAGUC
This 460-nucleotide ribosomal RNA is filed under the name uncultured bacterium. RNAcentral describes it as "partial 16S ribosomal RNA". It matches the Rfam family "Bacterial small subunit ribosomal RNA", at positions 338 to 795 of the family's 1533-position model. The record is from RNAcentral.